This 68-nucleotide transfer RNA is filed under the name Perga condei. RNAcentral's name for it is "tRNA-Ser". The record is from RNAcentral. Lineage: Eukaryota; Metazoa; Arthropoda; Insecta; Hymenoptera; Pergidae.
AGUUAAUGAACUUGAAUAAGUCUAUGUUUUGAAAACAUAUUAUAAAAGAAAUAAUCUUUUAUUAACUU